Molecule: ribosomal RNA, 164 nt
Filed under: Poa trollii
Lineage: Eukaryota; Viridiplantae; Streptophyta; Magnoliopsida; Poales; Poaceae
Description: 5.8S ribosomal RNA
Rfam family: 5.8S ribosomal RNA
About the family: 5.8S ribosomal RNA (5.8S rRNA) is a component of the large subunit of the eukaryotic ribosome. It is transcribed by RNA polymerase I as part of the 45S precursor that also contains 18S and 28S rRNA. Functionally, it is thought that 5.8S rRNA may be involved in ribosome translocation.
Source: RNAcentral
CACAUGACUCUCGGCAACGGAUAUCUCGGCUCUCGCAUCGAUGAAGAACGUAGCGAAAUGCGAUACCUGGUGUGAAUUGCAGAAUCCCGCGAACCAUCGAGUCUUUGAACGCAAGUUGCGCCCGAGGCCACUUGGCCGAGGGCACGCCUGCCUGGGCGUCACGC